CAGCAGCCACGGGAAUACGGAGGGUGCAAGCGUUAAUCGGAAUUACUGGGCGUAAAGCGCACGCAGGCGGUCUGUCAAGUCAGAUGUGAAAUCCCCGGGCUUAACCUGGGAACUGCAUUUGAAACUGGCAGGCUAGAGUCUUGUAGAGGGGGGUAGAAUUCCAGGUGUAGCGGUGAAAUGCGUAGAGAUCUGGAGGAAUACCGGUGGCGAAGGCGGCCCCCUGGACAAAGACUGACGCUCAGGUGCGAAAGCGUGGGGAGCAAACAGGAUUAGAUACCCGUGUAGUCCCUGUCUUUAUACC
This 301-nucleotide ribosomal RNA is filed under the name uncultured bacterium. RNAcentral describes it as "partial 16S ribosomal RNA". It matches the Rfam family "Bacterial small subunit ribosomal RNA", at positions 509 to 808 of the family's 1533-position model. The record is from RNAcentral.